UCCCUGGUGGACUAGUGGUUAGGCCACAGCCUUCUCCCUGCUGCGCUCCGGGUUCGAUUCCCGGCCAGGGAA
Molecule: non-coding RNA, 72 nt
Organism: Pangasius djambal
Lineage: Eukaryota; Metazoa; Chordata; Actinopteri; Siluriformes; Pangasiidae
Source: the annotation of a GenBank genome assembly